GCGGAAGUGGCUGUAACUGGCAAACACGCGAGUCUCAAAAACUCGUGCCCUCUAGGGCGUGCAGGUUCGAAUCCUGUCUUCCGCACCA
Molecule: transfer RNA, 88 nt
Filed under: Acidobacteriota bacterium
Lineage: Bacteria; Pseudomonadati; Acidobacteriota
Also listed under: 1 other name
Description: Acidobacteria bacterium tRNA-Leu
Rfam family: tRNA
About the family: Transfer RNA (tRNA) molecules are approximately 80 nucleotides in length.
Source: RNAcentral